This 76-nucleotide transfer RNA is filed under the name Calditerricola satsumensis. RNAcentral describes it as "tRNA-Thr". It matches the Rfam family "tRNA". From Rfam's summary of the family: Transfer RNA (tRNA) molecules are approximately 80 nucleotides in length. Their secondary structure includes four short double-helical elements and three loops (D, anti-codon, and T loops). Further hydrogen bonds mediate the characteristic L-shaped molecular structure. tRNAs have two regions of fundamental functional importance: the anti-codon, which is responsible for specific mRNA codon recognition, and the 3' end, to which the tRNAs corresponding amino acid is attached (by aminoacyl-tRNA synthetases). tRNAs cope with the degeneracy of the genetic code in two manners: having more than one tRNA (with a specific anti-codon) for a particular amino acid; and 'wobble' base-pairing, i.e. permitting non-standard base-pairing at the 3rd anti-codon position. RNAcentral also lists the same sequence under 2 other names. Lineage: Bacteria; Bacillati; Bacillota; Bacilli; Caryophanales; Bacillaceae. The record is from RNAcentral.
GCUGGCGUAGCUCAGUUGGUAGAGCGGCGCACUCGUAAUGCGUAGGUCGUGGGUUCAAGUCCCUCCGCCAGCACCA